This 588-nucleotide long non-coding RNA is filed under the name Homo sapiens (human). RNAcentral's name for it is "HSALNT0266425". Lineage: Eukaryota; Metazoa; Chordata; Mammalia; Primates; Hominidae. The record is from RNAcentral.
CAGAAAAGAGCUAAAUCCAAGUGGGGUUUACGCCAUUGGUGCAAAAAGCAGAGAGCAGGUGCGAAGGGGCAUGGGCACUCGAGGACGCACCAGGAUGACUGGUGACCAGGAAGCAGGGCCUCAAUCCAGCUUCCUCAUGCCGGCUCCUGGGGGACGUUGGCUUCCAUUUCCCCAUCUGGGUUCUAAGCUCCUUCUGACUCUGGUGUUCUGGAAUGAUCUACCCGGCAUCCCAGAAGUGAAGGCUGGAAGCCAAUAACCACGAACCAGCCACAGGAUGAGCUGAACCGAGCAGUGCGGCCUUGACUGAACUCUUGCCUCAUUACCCUGAGAAAAUCUCCACCCAGGGGGAGCAAUGCACCUUGCUAGGCACAAAAAGUGCUGGGUGCAAAAGACAAGACUGUGCAGGGUCCAGCCCCUCCUGGAAGAACCCACCUUUCUCCAGGAAUCCCUGGCCCAGUCUCCACCUACCUGCCCUAAAAGCCCUUAAAAUCCCCCUUUGCCCUAUGCCUUAGGGAGAAGGUGGUUUGAACAUGAGCUCCCCUUCCCCAUUCCUUGAUCAACGAAUAAAGUUUGACUCUGCUUUGCCCA